ACUCAAAUGAAUUGACGGGGCCCCGCACAAGCGGCGGAGCAUGCGGAUUAAUUCGAUGCAACGCGAAGAACCUUACCUGGGUUUGACAUAUACCGGAAACGUCUAGAGAUAGGCGCCCCCUUGUGGUCGGUAUACAGGUGGUGCAUGGCUGUCGUCAGCUCGUGUCGUGAGAUGUUGGGUUAAGUCCCGCAACGAGCGCAACCCUCGUCUUAUGUUGCCAGCGGUUCGGCCGGGGACUCAUAAGAGACUGCCGGGGUCAACUCGGAGGAAGGUGGGGAUGACGUCAAGUCUUCAUGCCCCUUAUGUCCAGGGCUUCACGCAUGCUACAAUGGCCGGUACAGAGGGCUGCGAUCCCGCAAGGGGGAGCGAAUCCCAAAAAGCCGGUCUCAGUUCGGAUUGGGGUCUGCAACUCGACCCCAUGAAGUCGGAGUCGCUAGUAAUCGCAGAUCAGCAACGCUGCGGUGAAUACGUUCCCGGGGCUUGUACACACCGCCCGU
Molecule: ribosomal RNA, 497 nt
Filed under: uncultured bacterium
Lineage: Bacteria
Description: bacterial SSU rRNA
Rfam family: Bacterial small subunit ribosomal RNA
Source: RNAcentral